AUGAUCUACCUAAGCUGGAACUGCCGAGGGCUUGGGAACCCCGAGGCAGUUCGCGAGCUUCGCAAUGUUGUGAAGCAAUAAGGGCCCGUGCUGGUCUUUGUUAUGGAGACGAAGAUCAAAAGGAGACGUGUUGAGAAUUUGAAGCAGACCUUGGGGUUUGCUGGCUGCUUCGUAGUGGACAACGAUGGACUCAGUGGGGGCAUCGGUCUCUAUUGGUCCAAAGAUGUUUCUGUCGAGCUCAAGAACUACAGUUCAGCCCACAUCGAUGUUGUGGCGCGCGAUGCCCUUGAUAACUCUGCUACAUGGAAAUUCACUGGCUUCUAUGGAGCUCCAAGAGCCGAAAAUAGACAUCACAGUUGGCGGUUCCUUUGUACCCUACAUGGCCUGCCACACUCAGCGUGGUAA
Molecule: ribosomal RNA, 405 nt
Filed under: Triticum aestivum (bread wheat)
Lineage: Eukaryota; Viridiplantae; Streptophyta; Magnoliopsida; Poales; Poaceae
Description: partial small subunit ribosomal RNA
Source: RNAcentral